UCAAACUUAUGCCACUCCUGGUGGCCCUCUCCAAAUGGUCCAUCGAGGUACAGCUGCAGGGAGCAGAGUGGGUGUGAGUUAAGCUCUCAGCUACCAUCACAGUUCUGAAGUCAGAAGUGAGAGGCAAGAAAAAGCAGGCUCACCAGCUUGUCCCCGCCGUAGAUUAGUGCAGGGACCAGGAAGAAGAUGUGGAAACGGGGCAGCUGGAUCAGAGCGAAGCUGCCAUGGAUGAUGAGCUGAAUAGAGCGAAGAACACAACUCAGGCCCGGCCACACCCACAACGGGAUCUGAGGCUGGCUCCGGGCUUAGGCCCCUGUAUCUUUCCUCCUGGCAUGUCCACGCCUCACCUCAUUGUGCCCUGCUCCUUCCAGGUUCCAAAACCCAACCAUUCCCAACCCCAGGUUCCAAAACACAACCAUUCCCAAAGCAUCCUUGAUGAAUAAGACUAUUUGCAUCUUUCCAUGCUAGACCAAGCCAUGCCAACUCUCCCCUGCACCCAUGCUGUAGCCUCCUAACUGGUUUUCCCCAUGUGAUCGAUUCUCUUCAAGGCAGCGAGUGUGACUUUAUGAAGUUAAUUUUAUCAUGUCACCCCCAGCUUUAAAAGCCUUAGCGGCCUUCCCAUUGCCUGGUGAUGCUCUGACCCCUGCCUGCCAAACAUGGCAAGUCCUUUCUGCUCCAA
Long non-coding RNA from Pipistrellus kuhlii (Kuhl's pipistrelle), 679 nucleotides. RefSeq lists it as uncharacterized. The record is from RefSeq and is a predicted model, not a curated record. The transcript has 2 exons. NCBI's taxonomy places the organism in Eukaryota, Metazoa, Chordata, Mammalia, Chiroptera, Vespertilionidae.